Molecule: long non-coding RNA, 6053 nt
Organism: Mustela lutreola (European mink)
Lineage: Eukaryota; Metazoa; Chordata; Mammalia; Carnivora; Mustelidae
Exons: 3
Source: RefSeq, a predicted model, not a curated record
CCUUGAGAUCAUGACCAGAGCCCAAGGCAGAGGCUUUAACCCACUGAGCUACCCAGGCACCCCUACCUGGUCUUUUCUGGUUAUUCAAAACGGCAAAUUUUAGUUCUCCUCAGGGGUCCUUUAUUCCUGUUGCCUUUGCCUGGAAUGACUAACUUUUCUUUGUCUGCAUCAAUCUUAUUUAUAUUUUUGUCAUUUGGUAUGUCUCCCAUUAGAUUUUCAGCCCCAUGAAAUUGAGGACGUUGGCCAAUUUAAAUCCCAGCACUACAUUCCCAGCACCAAGAAUAUUGCCUGACCCAUGAUAAGUCCUCGAGAAAUAUUUGUCAAGUGAAUAAGUAAAUUUUGUAGCCAUAUUUGUUUUAAUAUAUGGCUGGCAUUACCUGGCAACUUUGACCCUAGGAAAUGUCCUUCGUUUCUCCCACGGUUCUGUGUGUCCACUGAGAAGCUUGGCCACUCCUAACCAGCCACUGUUAAGAAAUUACAGUCUCCGAGGGUGCUUGGGUGGCUCAGUGGGUUAAAGCCUCUGCCUUCAGCUCAGGUCAUGAUCUCAGGGUCCUGGGAUCGAGCCCCACAUCGGGCUCUCUGCUCAGCGGGGAGCCUGCCUCCCCGCCUCUCUCUGCCUGUCGCUCUGCCUACUUGUGAUCUCCGUCUGUCAAAUAAAUAAACAAAAUCUUAAAAAAAAAAAAAAAAAAGAAAAAGAAAUUACAGUCUCCAGACCCCUUCAGAAUGAAAAGAAGGGCAGUGGGACCUUUGAACAGACAUCUGUGAGGGAACUCAUCAGUAGAUUAUAAAUGUAGGCCAAAACGAAAAAUAGAGACACUGUCAUAAAAAUCUCUCACACAUUCAAGUAUUGAGCUUGACCCUUGAUUUCAAUAAAGUAGUGUACUUCCCGGAUGGGGCUGAUAAAAGGUAAUAGUAUUAUGGGAUGGGAAGAGAGAUAGACAAAGGCCAGAGUCUACUUUGAAAAAAAUAUGUAAAUCUCUGGCAGGUCAUGACUUUAGACCACACACAGUUCGUCCUAAGAGAAAAAAACACAGGAAAGAAAAAAACAGCAUCAACAUUUCUAUCCUUUUUGUGUUCGCUGGAAAUAGAGUUUUGAAGGUAGUCCGGAGAGUGCAAUGCUCUUUUCCAACCACAGACUAUUCUUUCCUGGAAUUAUCGAAGGGUUUUUGUUUGGUUGUUUUUUUUUGUUUUGUUUUUGUUUGUUUGUUUGUUUGUUUGUUUCAUUUUUCAAGUGAGUGUAACAAUGAAACUUCGUCUUCAUUAAUCCAAAUUUAUGUCGUAAUGUGAGAAUGUGUGUGUGCUGAGUAACUUGACUAGGCGUUUACAAGUGGAAAGCGGAGUCUGAUGACCAGUAUUACAUAUUUACCUCAUCUCUUUUCUCUUCUGCAGAACUUGUUUUCAAAUGUGGAAACUCAUCUGUAUCCUAAGAUAGUUAAUGUUAGAAAAUAGGGAGCAUGCGGGCUACAUUAAAGUUUCGCAGCUCAGAAUUAAGGUUUGUCUCAGUGUAAUCUGUGACCAUCCUCACUUUGACAUUUGAGUUUUACUAGAUUUCUGCUUCCUUACCUGUAGAAGGGGAUGGUGUUCUAGUCAUUCUUGUUAGGGUAUGAAGCAAAUGGUACCAAGGCAGGUUAGAAAAACUUUAAACACUGGCCAUUUGCAAUUGGUCUACUCUCUUGAUUGUUACCUGCAUGCAAAUGAUGUUGGAAAGGAAUUUUACUGUGCGUUCAAAGAACGUUUUUGCCAAAUAGUUUAGAAGUCAGGGUCAUGCCAGAAUAAAAAAAAAAAAAAAAAGAGGGACAGAUAUUAACAAUUAGUCAUGAGAUUUUAAUUGAAACGGAACUUUUUUUCUUUAAAUAACUACCUAAGAUAAAAUCUGUUUUUCUUCUUUUCUCUGUUGCCCAUUAGUAAUGAUUAGAAUAUACCAAAGGGAGAUUUAAAAUAAUCCUGAGUGUCAUUAUUACCUAUCACUGUAGUUCAUGAGUGGAGUUAGCACAAUUUACCAAGUCCUACUCUCUAAAUGAUGCCUCCAGUCCGAGUUGCGUGGGACCUGUUCUACCUGGUGCCCGAGCUGUGGCCAGCUGAGCUGUUGCACAUCAUCUUUAUUGGAAGCUAAUUGGGCAAGUUCUGGUCCUUAUUUUGUACUCAGUCUGGCAAACACAGCCCCUAGGACACUUAAUAGCGUCAUUGUCCAUCAGUCUGUCAGAGUGACUGCCUUCAGGGCUGUCUGCUACGUGCUAUGUCCACUGGGCACUGCAAGAGCCACCAAAGAACAGAGGCCAUUUAUGGCUCUGUUGAGGGUAAAUUGAAUUCAGAGGAAUGGCUCAGGGAGGAGGGCAUAGCAUAGCAUGGAAAAGCUUGAAACAUUCUCCCUUUCAGUAAUGGGGGAAAAAAAAAAAGAGCCCAUGGUAUCAAAGCUUUCCCCCAAAGGAAUGAUGCACAAUGAAUGGUAAUACACCAGUCUGAAGAGUGGAUUUUGAGGGGUAAGGGAACCCCCAGCCCCGUACUUCUUUCUCAAGUAACAAGUUGCACGGCCUUGCUGGAUGUGAGGAACGCGGGAAAGAGUCGGGGCUUGGAGGAGAUGUUGACCUACUUCACUUCUUUCACUGCAAUUUUAAAUGGAACAGAUAGGAUGGAACAAAUGAGCCAAAUCAAACUUUUUUUUCCUGUUUUUGCAAUGAGGCAGGUAUACAUUAAAAACAACAACAACAACAAAACCUGGAGUUCUUGAAAACAAGGAAACAUUAGGAGGAAAUGAGGCAGGGAGAAUGUAAGAGAAAGGGGGCGACAUCUUUUUCUUUAGGGUAAUUCCCCUUUUUCCUGGAAAUGCAGACUAUGCAGGCAAGGCUGUGUGACUCGGGGUCCACGGCUCAUGACGGACAUGCAAGACGCAGAGGAGCCUGGAAAGUCAGGAAAGCCACGGAGGUCAAUCCUGUAGAUUCUGGACACUUCCAUCUUGCCAGCAGUCCGCGGCGACCCUCCUCUCUGAAAGCCUCCACUAAGGGCACAGAGAGAGCAAAGGGGAAGGGGGGGGCUUCCUUGAAUAUCUGCUUGUGGCAUUGUCUUCAGCUCACCAAAAAAACUCUGAACCAGGCAUCCUAUUAGAAGCGAGAACAAGUAUCUAUUGUUUGGGCUUAAAUAGCUCUAAGUGUUUCUUCUAGAGAUAAUUAAUUUAAUUAACAUAGUCCCUGAAGCCAAACUGAGCCUCAUCUUGAGCUCUACACAGAUUCCUUCCGAAUUCCAGCACAAGGCUAUUCAGAAUGAGCAACUGAUGGACCCUGUAACUUUGUAGACCCAUCGGGCCCCGCCCCCGCCCCAGCGGCAGACUUGCCUCCUUGACUCUGCUGCGGAUGGAGGCCUUAGGACAGGGGUGAGACCAGGGGGCUCUUCCUGGGCUGAGGAGAGCGCCAUUAGCUCUGAUAGAUUUAAAGGAAAGAUCAUCUUUCAUCUGUGGAUUGAGUUCCAAAAAAGGACAAUGGCAUUUCUUCCUUCCUGGUGGGUUAGAGAGAAAUUUGGUCUACUGAUUGCCUCCCCAUCGCCAGUGCUCAGCAGGACAGCCUCAAUAAAUCCACGCUGAAUGAGUGAAUACAUACAUGAGUGAAAAUCAGUCCCUUUGGUUGGCUUUUUGGCCUGUUGUCUUCCGGAGUAUGGAAGGAAAUUGAGUAGCAUUUGAUCUUAGAUUGAAAACUACCAACUGUCAUUUGUCCCAAGGGGACAUAAGAUGGUGGCUCUGGAUGGUGGUUUAUCUAUGGUAGAAGUAAAUUCAACACGUAUUGCAAGCUCCGAGGCAGGCACAAUGGAGGAAGGCCACAUGGUAGGGCCAUUUGGGAGUCAGACUAUGGAGUCAGAAAGACUGGGUUCUUCGCUGUCUCCCCUUUCUUGUGGUGUGACCGUGGGCACCUUUCUAAAACCUCUCUCAGCCUGUAUCUCUAAAAUAAGGAUAAUAUAAAACCUCGCUCCUAAGGUUAUUGUGAAGUUUAAGUACAAUGCCAUUUUCAUUCAACAUGUUCUGAACACCUACUGUGUGCCAGACAUUGUUGUAGGUGUUUGGGAUACAUCGGGGAAUGGAAUGAUGCCGCUUGGCUUUGUGAUGCUUGUAGUCUAGCAAGGGUAGAGGGGAGGGGAGCGAACAACACACCAGCCACACAAUCAAAUCAAUAUAUGCUCUGUUGGCGUUCUAUGUGCCAACAGGAGGGCAGGGUAAGAGUCCCAAAGGGGAUCUGUGAGGUGAGAAUAAGUUGCAGUUCUAUGUAGUGUAGACAGAGGCAGACAGGGUAAGCCUCAUUGAAAAGGUGAUGCUUGGGCAAAGUUUUGAAGUUAGUGAGGGAGUGAACCGUGCAGAUAUCAGGAGACAAAAUGUUCCAGGCAGACGCAAAGGCCAGUACAAAGGCCAGAGGGCAGGAGUAUGCCAGGCCUGUUGGAGAGCCAAGAGCAAAGGAGCUAGCGUGGCUGGGAGGGGGAGAAGUGACUGCAGAGCAGGCAGGACCUUUGGGCUAGCACCCACAGCGAAAUGGGGAGCCUGUCUCACCCUUAUUUUGAAGGCUCGCCCAUGGCGGGUGGAGGAGGGACACGGCUGUAGGAGGGGAAACAGGCUUGUGUGUGGACGCCCAGCUGUGUAAUGAUCUGAGAUCACAAGUAGGCAGAGAAGCAGGCAGAGAGAGAGGAGGAAGCAGACUCCCCACCGAGCAGAGAGCCCGACAUGGAGCUCCAUCCCAGAACCUUGGGAUCACAACCUGAGCCGAAGACAGAGGCCUUAACCCACUGAGCCACCCAGGUGCCCCAAGGCUGUGCAUUUUACAUCUCCACUGAAGUAUUAGAAAGCUUUCUGUAAUCAAACACAUUGGUAUUCCUUCAGUGAAAUAUAUGAGUAUUUGUAUUCAGUGGGAUAAAUAGCCUCAUGUUAGCUUAGGCCAGGUUUUGCUACUUAAUAAGUUUUGGCAUUAAGGGGCGCCUGGGUGGCUGGGUCUGUUCAGCAACCCGUUCUCGGUUUCAGUUUAUGUCAUUAACUCAGGGUGGUGAGAUUGAGCCUGACAUUGUGCUCUGCACUCAGCACGGAGUCUGCAUGGUUCUCCCCUUCUCCUUCUGCCCCCACUUCUUAACUAAAUAAAGAAAAUCUUUUUUAAAAAAGCUUUUGUUAGUGAAAAUAAACUUUUGGGACUUCAUCAAAAUCAAAGGCUUCUGCACAGCAAAGGAAACAGUCAAAAAAACAAAGAGGCAACCCACGGAAUGGGAGAAGAUAUUUGCAAAUGACAGUAGAGACAAAAGGUUGAUAUCCAGGACCUAUAAUGAACUCCUCAAACUCAACACACACGAAACAGGCAAACAUAUCAAAAAAUGGGCAGAAGAUAUGAACAGACACUUCUCCAAUCAAGACAUACAAAUGGCUAUCAGACACAUGAAAAAAUGUUCAUCAAUAUUAGCCCUCAGGGAGAUUCAAAUUAAAACCACAUUGAGAUAUCACCUUACACCAGUUAGAAUGGCCAAAAUUAACAAAACAGGAAACAACAUGUGUUGGAGGGGAUGUGGAGAAAGGGGAACUCUCUUACACUGUUGGUGGGAAUGCAAGUUGGUGCAGCCUCUUUGGAGAACAGUGUGGAGAUUCCUCAAGAAAUUAAAAAUAGAACUUCCCUCAAGCUUAAAAAAAAAAAUAAAAAUAGAACUUCCCUAUGACCCUACAAUUGCACUCCUGGGUAUUUACCCCAAAGAUACAGGUGUCGUGAAAAGAAGGGCCAUCUGUACCCCAAUGUUUAUAGCAGCAAUGGCCACGGUCGCCAAACUAUGGAAAGAACCAAGAUGCCCUCCAACGGACGAAUGGAUAAGGAAGAUGUGGUCCAUAUACACUAUGGAGUAUGAUGCCUCCAUCAGAAAGGAUGAAUACCCAACUUUUGUAGCAGUAUGGACGGGACUGGAAGAGAUUAUGCUGAGGGAAAUAAAUCAAGCAGAGAGAGUCAAUUAUCAUAUGGUUUCACUUAUUUGUGGAGCAUAACAAAUAUCAUGGAGGACAAGGGGUGUUAGAGAGGAGAAGGGAGUUGGGGGAAAUUGGAAGGGGAGGUGAA